Molecule: ribosomal RNA, 639 nt
Filed under: uncultured bacterium
Lineage: Bacteria
Description: bacterial SSU rRNA
Rfam family: Bacterial small subunit ribosomal RNA
Source: RNAcentral
CGCGGCCUAUCAGCUUGUUGGUGGGGUAACGGCCCACCAAGGCAUCGACGGGUAGCUGGUCUGAGAGGACGAUCAGCCACACUGGGACUGAGACACGGCCCAGACUCCUACGGGAGGCAGCAGUGGGGAAUAUUGCGCAAUGGGCGAAAGCCUGACGCAGCAACGCCGCGUGGGGGAUGACGGCCUUCGGGUUGUAAACCCCUUUCAGCAGGGACGAAAAUGACGGUACCUGCAGAAGAAGCCCCGGCCAACUACGUGCCAGCAGCCGCGGUAACACGUAGGGGGCAAGCGUUGUCCGGAUUUAUUGGGCGUAAAGAGCUCGUAGGCGGUUGCGUAAGUCGGAUGUGAAAACUCAGGGCCCAACCCGGAGACGCCAUCCGAUACUGCGCUGACUAGAGUCCGGUAGAGGAGCAUGGAAUUCCUGGUGUAGCGGUGAAAUGCGCAGAUAUCAGGAGGAACACCAGUGGCGAAGGCGGUGCUCUGGGCCGGUACUGACGCUGAGGAGCGAAAGCGUGGGUAGCGAACAGGAUUAGAUACCCUGGUAGUCCACGCCGUAAACGUUGGGCACUAGGUGUGGGGCCUCCUUAACGGGUUCCGUGCCGUAGCUAACGCAUUAAGUGCCCCGCCUGGGGAGUACGG